RNAcentral lists this ribosomal RNA (431 nucleotides) under uncultured Anaerolineaceae bacterium. RNAcentral's name for it is "bacterial SSU rRNA". It matches the Rfam family "Bacterial small subunit ribosomal RNA", at positions 936 to 1382 of the family's 1533-position model. The record is from RNAcentral. Lineage: Bacteria; Bacillati; Chloroflexota; Anaerolineae; Anaerolineales; Anaerolineaceae.
AGCGUGUGGUUUAAUUCGAUGCUACACGAAGAACCUUACCAGGGUUUGACAUGCAAGUGGUAGGAACCGAAAGGCGACCGACCCUUCGGGGAGCUUGCACAGGUGCUGCAUGGCUGUCGUCAGCUCGUGUCGUGAGAUGUUCGGUUAAGUCCGCUAACGAGCGCAACCCUCGCUGUGUGUUAUAUGUGUCACACAGGACUGCUGGUAUUAAGCCGGAGGAAGUGGGACGACGUCAAGUCAGCAUGACCUUUAUAUCCAGGGCUACACACACGCUACAAUGGUCAGUACAAUGGGUUGCCAAGCCGCGAGGCGGAGCCAAUCCUAAAAAGCUGGCCUCAGUUCAGAUUGCAGUCUGAAACUCGACUGCAUGAAGUCGGAGUUGCUAGUAAACGCAGGUCAGCUAUACUGCGUUGAAUACGUUCCCGGGGCUU